AGAGGAUUAGCUCAGCUGGGAGAGCGUCUGCCUUACAAUAAUUUUAAAUUGAUUUUUUCAUUAAAUAUCGUUUCAA
RNAcentral lists this transfer RNA (76 nucleotides) under Candidatus Phytoplasma solani. RNAcentral's name for it is "transfer RNA-Val". The record is from RNAcentral. Lineage: Bacteria; Bacillati; Mycoplasmatota; Mollicutes; Acholeplasmatales; Acholeplasmataceae.